UACGAAGGGGGCUAGCGUUGUUCGGAAUUACUGGGCGUAAAGGGCGCGUAGGCGGCUCUGAUCGUCGGAUGUGAAAGGCCUGGGCUCAACCUGGGAAUGGCAUCCGAUACGGCGGGGCUGGAGUGUGGGAGAGGAAAGCGGAAUUCCUGGUGUAGCGGUGAAAUGCGUAGAUAUCAGGAGGAACACCUGCGGUGUAGACGGCUUUCUGGACCAUUGUUGACGCUGAGACACGAAAGCGUGGGUAGCAAACAGG
This 253-nucleotide ribosomal RNA is filed under the name uncultured bacterium. Its description in RNAcentral is "partial 16S ribosomal RNA". It matches the Rfam family "Bacterial small subunit ribosomal RNA", at positions 524 to 776 of the family's 1533-position model. The record is from RNAcentral.